Long non-coding RNA from Chenopodium quinoa (quinoa), 469 nucleotides. RefSeq lists it as uncharacterized. The transcript is spliced from 4 exons. The record is from RefSeq and is a predicted model, not a curated record. NCBI's taxonomy places the organism in Eukaryota, Viridiplantae, Streptophyta, Magnoliopsida, Caryophyllales, Amaranthaceae.
UUUGCCGGUGAUGUUUAACAAAUCUCUAGAUUUUAAUCUACCACGUAUUCAUCAAAUCUUACGGUGGGGUUUAUUUUCUGUCAAUUACAAACAAAAGCGUUUACUUCCUCUCUCCUCUCUCCUCCAUUAUCAUGCGUUAUUUUCUCUCUCCUCUGUUUUCUCUCUCCUAAUUUCUCGAUUCUUCUUCUAAUUUCAUGCUACUUCAAAAUCACUAUAAUGUAAUAGCUUCGAUUCUUCAUCAAAUUCGUUAUCAUUAUCGUCUAUGAUCUAGUAUCAACCGAUUUACGACGGAGUUAUCGCCGGCAGAGUUUCCGGUCGGAAUUGGAAGCAGCCGAGGAUUAUCUAAUUUAAUCAGAGAAUUAUAUACGAGCAAAUAUCUUUGGAAUAUCAAAGUACGAGUUUCUCGCCUUAUGAUCCUGUUGGAUGAGGAGGUUCCGUGACGGUCCUAUGCACGGUGGGAGGCCCCUUG